GAUGAACGCUGACAGAAUGCUUAACACAUGCAAGUCUACUUGAACUUCGGUUUGGGUGGCGGACGGGUGAGUAACGCGUAAAGAACUUGCCUCACAGAUAGGGACAACAUUUGGAAACGAAUGCUAAUACCUGAUAUUAUGAUUUUAGGGCAUCCUAGAAUUAUGAAAGCUAUAUGCACUGUGAGAGAGCUUUGCGUCCCAUUAGCUAGUUGGAGAGGUAACGGCUCACCAAGGCGAUGAUGGGUAGCCGGCCUGAGAGGGUGAUCGGCCACAAGGGGACUGAGACACGGCCCUUACUCCUACGGGAGGAAGCAGUGGGGAAUAUUGGACAAUGGACCAAGAGUCUGAUCCAGCAAUUCUGUGUGCACGAUGAAGUUUUUCGGAAUGUAAAGUGCUUUCAGUUGGGAAGAAAAAAAUGACGGUACCAACAGAAGAAGUGACGGCUAAAUACGUG
This 454-nucleotide ribosomal RNA is filed under the name uncultured bacterium. RNAcentral's name for it is "partial 16S ribosomal RNA". It matches the Rfam family "Bacterial small subunit ribosomal RNA", at positions 28 to 507 of the family's 1533-position model. The record is from RNAcentral.